CACAGCAGAGCAGGACAGCAGCUAAACGUAGAGGUUAUAAAGAGCUUAUUAAAGAUAAAGGGGAGAAAAGAUUGCUGAAAGAGAAGAAGUGUAGGAGAGCUAAGCUAUAAAGCUGAGGAAGGUUGAGGCAUCGGCUUGCUUGUUUAGGCAGUUUUUAUUACACAGCAGUUAUCUAUUAGACAUAAACAGUGUUGCAUUUAGUUCUCUUUUUUUUGCUCUGUAUUUCAGUAGCUGUGGAAAGGGAAUAAUCAGUUACAGUAAAAUUUGUCUUAAGACAUUACAGUGGGUAAAUACUUGAUAAUAUGAAACUGUGUUCCAAUGAACUGAUAAUACAAGUAAUGUAUAUCAUUACUCAUUCACAGAAUUACACAAUCUUUUACCCAUUACUGCCAUGGCUGAAGCACUCCCCCACGAACGCAAUGGAGCUUGGUUUCUUUGUUUGUUAGUGGCUAAUGUCCCUGACAGCUUCAGUGAAGAAAAGUCUGAUUAAGAAUGGAGAGCGUCAAGAUGAGGAGAGUGUUGGUGGGAGGCAUAGAACAGAAGCCUUGCGACAGCUGUGUAAAAUGAAUCUGUCUCAGGCCCUCAAAGUGCGCAGCAUGGUGACCAUAGUUUUGGAGACACAUCAAUUGAUUGGAUGUUCACUUAUUGAUUAAUUCACACACCUAUGAUAGGGGCAUGGUUUGGUGGUGGUUGUUUGGUGGGUCUCCAAAAGCUUAAAGAAAACCCAAAGGAGCGGUCAUGAACAUACAUACCUUCACCAAUGCCAGUUAGUGCACUGAAAGACACUGAGAGUUUAGACUCUGAUGAACAACUGUGCCAGCGUGUUGAAAGCACCAUCAUUGAAAUCAUUAACAUGAGCGUCACAGGAGUGUAGAAAUAUUUGUGUAUAUCAUCCUUUUUUCUGCUGUAUAAAUGUGCAGAGUGGAAGAGGCAGAGAGAGAGAGGCUUGCAGUUGGGAUCUUCUGAGACCCUGAGGUUGUAUUUCUUUAUAAUGACUUGAUAAUAAGAAAGCUUUAAAAUAAAGCUUAAACCUGUUUAGUGCUAUUACUCAAAGCAUUGGUCAAGUUGGUUAUAAGUUGGGUUAUGGCAUUUUCAUCUUGAUUUUGGAAGGUGAAAGAUACAGCAGUGUCUGUACAGACCAUGGAGUUAUUAUUGGCAUCUGCUGAAUUGUGGGAAUGAAUGAAGAUCUGAUGCACAAAAAUGUUUCACUGGUAAUAUGCUAAUAUUUAACAUACACCACAUCUCAUGCUUUGGAUUACUGGAAAUACUCACAGGAGAGAGGCUUAAAUAUUUGGUUAUGUACAUUUUUAAAGAAAUAAAAGUGACAAAUGUGGUGUAUGUUCACAAUCUUCGGGCAAAAUAGAUAUAAUUCUAAAUGGUGGAUUUCACAGUGUUGUUUCAAGCCCUAUUAAAUUGGACAGCAUACCUGCCUCGUGGAAUACAGUUUUCUAUUUAGCCAACAUCUUUAGAAGCUGACUGUUGCUUUUCUUAGGGGACUUAGCUUUCAACACUAAACCAAAAACACUUGUGUGCUGGUAAAUCCAUUAUCUUGUACAAAGGGACAUUACCCUUACUGUAUCUAAUGUAAGAAAAUCAUUCACCAUAAAUAUCACCCUGCUGAUCUAUGAGCUUGGCUUCCAGUUGUAUCUAGGAAAGCAAACAAGCAUUCAUCCCUAAAUCUCUUUAAUUGGCCUUUCAGUCUGAGCCCCAGUGGGGAGCAGGUAUACAGUUUUAGAAACUAUUGCUCAAAGUAUAAAACAUUGGCCAGUGAUCUUCUUUGCUGUUAUAGAAGGAGAAAAAGCAAUAGAAAUGACGGCUCUAAAACAAGUAAUGAUUAAAAGGGAAAGGAACAGAACAUAGAAAAAGAAGGCAAGAGAAAGGGAUACUAUGAGAUUGGGAUCUUAUUUAAUGUCCAUAGAAUUAUUACAUCAGCUCUGACUGCGCAGGAUACAGUUUUUACUGAAGCUUCUAAAUCUAAUUUUAGAUGUCCAAGUUUAUCUCAAGGCAAACUUUAUAUGAUGGCAAUGCAAUUUUUUUUUUUUUUAAUUUAUGUAAAAUUAGUUUUUUCUUAUAGGUAAUUCUGCACAAGGAGCAUUAUUUAUUUGCAUAUUUGUAUUUUGUAUAUGAGCUGGAGCAGCCACAAAUUCUCUUGUUCAUACCCUUCACCCAAAGGCUCAGAUCUGCCAUUCAACUGUCAGAUUACUGUGCAGAAUGAUAUUUGAGCAGUGUUUUCAAGCUUUUCAAACAACUUUUAGACUAAGCAUCAUGUGGAAUUAUUCACCCUUGUUUUUUUCUACUCAAGGAAUUAAUAAAAUGUUCCUUUAA
Long non-coding RNA from Xenopus laevis (African clawed frog), 2325 nucleotides. RefSeq lists it as uncharacterized. NCBI's taxonomy places the organism in Eukaryota, Metazoa, Chordata, Amphibia, Anura, Pipidae. The transcript is spliced from 4 exons. The record is from RefSeq and is a predicted model, not a curated record.